This 584-nucleotide long non-coding RNA is filed under the name Elaeis guineensis (African oil palm). RNAcentral's name for it is "long non-coding RNA (EGUI_LNC068412)". The record is from RNAcentral. Lineage: Eukaryota; Viridiplantae; Streptophyta; Magnoliopsida; Arecales; Arecaceae.
GAGCAUAGCCGAUUGACAGCGACGUCCGUAACUGCCUGGUAGUGGACUGUUCAGGGCCACGUGGAGUUUGUUAUGGAGAGUAGUAGUGUCCAUUGUCGCGACUUGCCGGAGAGUGGUGGGGCCACGUAGAGUCUGUUACAGAGAGUGGAGUGGUGUCCAUUGUCGUGACUUAUCGGAGAGUGGUGGAGCCACGCGGAGUCUGUUACAGAGAGUGGGGUGGUGUCAAUUAUCAUGACUUAUCGGGGAGUUCGGGCCGGACGGCUGAAGCUCGAUUGGAACGUCUGGAGGAGCGGAAUAGCUCUCUAUCUCAGCAAUCUAAGAGAAGGUCGGAUGUCUCUGGGAUUGCAGAUGGGUUAAGUGUGGUUGGGUGCUAUUGGUACUGCAGACAGAAGUCAUCUGCUGUAGAAGUCCGGAUGGAAACUUUCUGUUGGAGCAAUCCGGCUGGAGUCCGAUUGCUAGAGAAGUCUGUCUGAAAUUCAUCCGCUGUAGAAGCUCGAAUGGAGACCAGUUAUUAUAGAAGUUCGGAUGGAGAUUGGUUGCCGUGGAAGGCCGGAUGGAGAUCGCUCAUUGUAGAAGUUCGGAUG